GAUGAACGCUGGCGGCGUGCCUAAUACAUGCAAGUCGAACGAAGCGGGGACGGGUGAGUAACAUGUCGAUAAACUCCCCUAAGACUGGGAUAAAUUCGGGAAACCGGAGCUAAAACCGCAACUUAUACAUGGAUGUACGCUGCAUUAGCUAGUUGGUAAGGUAACGGCUUACAAAGGCAACGAUGCGUAGCCGACCUGAGAGGGUGACCAGCCACACUGGAACUGAGACACGGUCCAGACUCCUACGGGAGGCAGCAGUAGGGAAUCUUCCGCAAUGGGCGAAAGCCUGACGGAGCAACGCCGCGUGAGUGAAGAAGGUCUUCGGAUCGUAAAACUCUUUUAUUAGGGAAGCGGUACCUACUCAGAAAGCCACGGCUAACUACGUGCCAGCAGCCGCGGUAAUAC
This 405-nucleotide ribosomal RNA is filed under the name uncultured bacterium. RNAcentral describes it as "partial 16S ribosomal RNA". It matches the Rfam family "Bacterial small subunit ribosomal RNA", at positions 28 to 526 of the family's 1533-position model. The record is from RNAcentral.